RNAcentral lists this ribosomal RNA (409 nucleotides) under uncultured archaeon. RNAcentral describes it as "bacterial SSU rRNA". It matches the Rfam family "Bacterial small subunit ribosomal RNA", at positions 505 to 916 of the family's 1533-position model. The record is from RNAcentral.
GUGCCAGCCGCCGCGGUAAGACAGAGGGCGCAAGCGUUGUUCGGAUUUACUGGGCGUAAAGGGCGUGUAGGCGGAUGUGUAAGUCGGGGGUGAAAGGCCAGGGCUCAACCCGGGAUGGUCUCCCGAAACUGCGCAUCUAGAGAAAGUCAGAGGCAGGUGGAAUUCCAGGUGUAGAGGUGAAAUUCGUAGAGAUCUGGAGGAACACCGGCGGCGAAGGCGGCCUGCUGGGGCUUUUCUGACGCUGAGGCGCGAAAGCGUGGGUAGCAAACAGGAUUAGAUACCCUGGUAGUCCACGCUGUAAACGAUGAGCACUAGAUGUGCGCGGUACGACCCCGCGCGUGUCGCAGCUAACGCAAUAGGUGCUCCGCCUGGGGACUACGGCCGCAAGUAAAACUUAAGGAAUUGACGG